Molecule: long non-coding RNA, 1038 nt
Filed under: Chloebia gouldiae (Gouldian finch)
Lineage: Eukaryota; Metazoa; Chordata; Aves; Passeriformes; Passeridae
Description: Erythrura gouldiae (Gouldian finch) lncRNA (ENSEGOG00005017232.1)
Source: RNAcentral
CCAAAACCGACAGGCUGGGUGAAGAGGACAUAGCUGUGGGUUAGCAACCCUGCAAGGCAAAUCUGUUGUAAAGCUUUGUGCUGAGAGCUUUUCACAGAGCUUAGUGUAACUUCGCUGGAAAGUUGCAUAAGUUGUUGGUGGUUUGUUUGUUGGGUUUUUUUUUUUUUUUUUGGGGGGGGGGGGAAAGAAAAAAAAGCACCAAAAAAAACCCCAACCGCGCUGAAGUCAACAGUAAUUUGCUCUGUCGCUGGUUCGCGGCACUCCCUACCCGCCUGCUUUGGAAAGGCCGCGGGGAAAGGCGUCCCGUGGGCGGGCAGGGCAGGGGCGGCCCGCGGGGAGCCGGGCGCGGCGCGGCGGAGCCCCAGAGCCGCGCGGACAUGGACUGCGGAGUCAUCACCUCCAAGAGCGUGCUGCUGCUGCUCAGCCUCGCCUUCUGGGCAGUCUACAACCACGUUUUGUGACUGGAAGCAAAUGGAGCCGCACGGCGAGGGCAUUGUACAAGGGCUCUGCUCCGUAUUUGGGGCGAGGACACUUUUGGGGAGGAAAACUGCUGAGAACUUUGUUCCAGCUAUGUCCUUGGCACAGCUACGGCUUUCCAAAUCACUUCCGCGGUAAUUAUUUACAAGCAAGUGAGAAAAUGAGGGUGGUUUGUCUACUUUUUAGCCUAACCCGCGCUGUUUUUGGGGGUGUCGGCAUCGGAGGCUCGUGGCACGGCUGCCCCGUAACAGUGGCAGCCUCGUGGGUGUUCGGAAAAGUGGGGAUUGUUCUGGUAAGCAGGCUCGGGCAUUGCCCCUGUAUGGGGAAGUUUGGGAAGCCCCCCACCAUCACCACGGACUGCCCUGGGACUGAGCAUUCCCAGGGAUGCUCCAACCUGCCAGGGCCUGGAGCUGCUCGGCCCGGGCUGGGCUCAGCAUGGCAGUGUCCCUUCUUCUGGGUGUAGCAGGGGCUCUUCCUCAAGAGAACCAGAGUUUUCCAAACAGAGACAUGAGGAGAGGAAAAAAAAAUAAAGCAAAAGAAGGAAUCCUGCUCGAAUUGAUC